RNAcentral lists this ribosomal RNA (553 nucleotides) under Bacillus sp. TISAE5. Its description in RNAcentral is "bacterial SSU rRNA". It matches the Rfam family "Bacterial small subunit ribosomal RNA", at positions 63 to 596 of the family's 1533-position model. Lineage: Bacteria; Bacillati; Bacillota; Bacilli; Caryophanales; Bacillaceae. The record is from RNAcentral.
CGAGCGAACUGAUUAGAAGCUUGCUUCUAUGACGUUAGCGGCGGACGGGUGAGUAACACGUGGGCAACCUGCCUGUAAGACUGGGAUAACUUCGGGAAACCGAAGCUAAUACCGGAUAGGAUCUUCUCCUUCAUGGGAGAUGAUUGAAAGAUGGUUUCGGCUAUCACUUACAGAUGGGCCCGCGGUGCAUUAGCUAGUUGGUGAGGUAACGGCUCACCAAGGCAACGAUGCAUAGCCGACCUGAGAGGGUGAUCGGCCACACUGGGACUGAGACACGGCCCAGACUCCUACGGGAGGCAGCAGUAGGGAAUCUUCCGCAAUGGACGAAAGUCUGACGGAGCAACGCCGCGUGAGUGAUGAAGGCUUUCGGGUCGUAAAACUCUGUUGUUAGGGAAGAACAAGUACAAGAGUAACUUGCUNGUACCUUGACGGUACCUAACCAGAAAGCCACGGCUAACUACGUGCCAGCAGCCGCGGUAAUACGUAGGUGGCAAGCGUUAUCCGGAAUUAUUGGGCGUAAAGCGCGCGCAGGCGGGUUCUUAAGUCUGAUGUG